UACGAAGGGGGCUAGCGUUGUUCGGAGUUACUGGGCGUAAAGGGCGCGUAGGCGGCGCAUCAAGUCAGGCGUGAAAGCCCUGGGCUCAACCCGGGAAUUGCGCUUGAGACUGGUGUGCUUGAGUACGGGAGAGGAUAGUGGAAUUCCCAGUGUAGAGGUGAAAUUCGUAGAUAUUGGGAAGAACACCAGUGGCGAAGGCGGUUCUCUGGGCCUUGCCUGACGCUGAGGAGCGAAAGCGUGGGGAGCGAACAGG
Molecule: ribosomal RNA, 253 nt
Filed under: uncultured bacterium
Lineage: Bacteria
Description: partial 16S ribosomal RNA
Rfam family: Bacterial small subunit ribosomal RNA
Source: RNAcentral